RNAcentral lists this ribosomal RNA (487 nucleotides) under uncultured bacterium. RNAcentral's name for it is "bacterial SSU rRNA". It matches the Rfam family "Bacterial small subunit ribosomal RNA", at positions 29 to 507 of the family's 1533-position model. The record is from RNAcentral.
AUGAACGCUAGCUACAGGCUUAACACAUGCAAGUCGAGGGGCANCGGGAUUGAAGCUUGCUUCAAUUGCCGGCGACCGGCGCACGGGUGAGUAACGCGUAUCCAACCUUCCGUACACUCAGGGAUAGCCUUUCGAAAGAAAGAUUAAUACCUGAUGGUAUGAUGAGAUUGCAUGAUAGCAUCAUUAAAGAUUUAUCGGUGAUGGAUGGGGAUGCGUCUGAUUAGCUUGUUGGCGGGUAACGGCCCACCAAGGCGACGAUCAGUAGGGGUUCUGAGAGGAAGGCCCCCCACAUUGGAACUGAGACACGGUCCAAACUCCUACGGGAGGCAGCAGUGAGGAAUAUUGGUCAAUGGACGAGAGUCUGAACCAGCCAAGUAGCGUGCAGGAUGACGGCCCUAUGGGUUGUAAACUGCUUUUAUAAGGGAAUAAAGUGAGUCUCGUGAGACUUUUGCAUGUACCUUAUGAAUAAGGACCGGCUAAUUCCGUG